GAAUGAACAGGGAUAAGCUCAACUUGAUAAUUGGGCUUCUGGCUUUGAAUUGUAAUCUCAAGAUGUAGGCCAAGGAGGGCGUAGGUGUAAGCCUCUUGGAAAAGAAAUCAUUGAGGGUGAGAAUCCUGUUUGUCACCUGCAGCUCCCUCCUGUACGGCCUACCUUCUAAGAGUCACGUUCCUCGGGAUUGGAGCGCAAACUGGGUGGUAAAUUUCAUCUCAAGCUAAAUAUGGGCUCUCGAAACCGAUAGCAAACAAGUACCAUGAGGGAAAGAUGAAAAGGACUUUGAAAAGAGAGUUAAAAGUGCCUGAACUUGCUGAAAGGAAAGCGGAUGGAACCAGUGUUGCUCGGUGAGAUUGUUGCGCGCUAUGGUGAUGGCCUGCUGCAUCAGCGCAAGCGUUCCUGUGGGUUUUGAUCUUGAUGCGCGUGAUGCUUCUUGCCUUGUGUGUCAUCGUCGGUUCGAUGGUGAGGUCAACCCUUGGGACAUGGUAGCUCGCCUCUGGGUGUGUGAACGUGCCUUGUGGAACUCACCUUCGAACUGCAAACCGAAUGUGCGGUUGCGCUGCCCUCGCUCUGCGUCACUGCCCCUCGCCCUCGUGCGUGCUGGGUGGUGUCGCGCCGCGCGGGGCACCUUCUGCACACAGCUAUGGUGACUAAAUGGUUCUAUUCGACCCGUCUUGAAACACGGACCAAGGAGUCUAACAUAUGUGCGAGUUCUUGGGUGGUGAAACCUACGUGCGCAAUGAAAGUGAGUACUGAGAUCUUUGCAUCAGCAGCCGACCGAUCGACUGGGAGAGGUUUGAGCAUGAGCAUAUCUGUUAGGACCCGAAAGAU
Molecule: ribosomal RNA, 834 nt
Filed under: Lepidodinium viride
Lineage: Eukaryota; Dinophyceae; Gymnodiniales; Gymnodiniaceae
Description: LSU rRNA
Rfam family: Eukaryotic large subunit ribosomal RNA
Source: RNAcentral